CCAAUAGCGUAUAUUAAAGUUGUUGCAGUUAAAAAGCUCGUAGUUGGAUUUCGGGAUUAGCAGGUCGGUCGUGCCACUGGUACGUACUGGUCUUGCUGAUUCCUCCCUCUUGACGAGCCGUAAUGCCAUUAAUUUGGUGUUGCGGGGAAUCAGGACUGUUACUUUGAAAAAUUAGAGUGUUUAAAGCAGGCAUGCGCUUGAAUACAUUAGCAUGGAAUAAUGAAAUAGGACGUUCGAUCUUAUUUUGUUGGUUUCUAGGAUUGACGUAAUGAUUAAUAGGGAUAGUUGGGGGCAUUAGUAUUCAAUUGUCAGAGGUGAAAUUCUUGGAUUUAUUGAAGACUAACUACUGCGAAAGCAUUUGCCAAGGAUGUUUUCAUUAAUCAAGAACGAAAGUUAGGGGAUCGAAGACGAUCAGAUACCGUCGUAGUCUUAACCAUAAACUAUGCCGACUAGGGAUCGGAUGAUGUUAAUUUUUAAUGACUCAUUCGGCGCCUUACGGGAAA
This 503-nucleotide ribosomal RNA is filed under the name uncultured Glomeromycotina. Its description in RNAcentral is "SSU rRNA". It matches the Rfam family "Eukaryotic small subunit ribosomal RNA", at positions 591 to 1097 of the family's 1831-position model. The record is from RNAcentral. Lineage: Eukaryota; Fungi; Glomeromycota.